UACAGCGAAUUUGGUAUUUAUUAGUAGUUUAUUGCAAGUUAAGUUGGCUGCGAUUUGGCCCACUUCCUUUUCCGUGUUAGCUGUGAAAGAAAAAACAUGCCGCUAGCAAAAGAUUUACUGCACCCUCUGCCCGCUGAGGAGAAACGCAAGCACAAGCUGAAGCGCUUGGUGCAGCAUCCCAACUCCUACUUCAUGGAUGUCAAGUGCCCGGGAUGCUACAGAAUCACAACCGUGUUCAGUCACGCCCAGGGCGUUGUGGUCUGCGCCGGCUGCGCCACCAUUCUGUGCCAGCCAACUGGCGGACGUGCCAAGCUGACAGAAGGCUGCUCGUUCCGUAGGAAGCCACAGUAAUUUGGGGCGCUUCUCGAUGAACCACAAAUUAUUAAUUUUUUAAUAAACACUCUAAAAACGCGUCGCAUAUUUGCCAAUUGGAUUGUGGAUACAAGUGACAAGCAACAACAACAUUUCGGCAGCGGCGGCAGCAGCAACAGCAACAAUUUUGAUAAUAAUUAGUUUAAAACUGCAUGUGUAAAAGCAACAACAACAUCAGGCGAGGCGCACAAUGUCGAAAUUAGGAUUGAGCAGAAACUGGCUGUAAAAUAGAGAAAACGCUUUUUAUAUAAUGA
This 626-nucleotide unclassified non-coding RNA is filed under the name Drosophila virilis. RNAcentral describes it as "GJ24684". Lineage: Eukaryota; Metazoa; Arthropoda; Insecta; Diptera; Drosophilidae. The record is from RNAcentral.